CAUAACCUGGUUGAUCCUGCCAGUAGUCAUAUGCUUGUCUCAAAGAUUAAGCCAUGCAUGUCUAAGUGUAAAUACGUCUACACUGUGAAACUGCGAAUGGCUCAUUAAAUCAGUUAUCGUUUAUUUGAUGAUCUCUUGUUACAUGGAUAACCGUAGUAACUCUAGAGCUAAUACAUGCGUCAAGCCCCGACUUCG
RNAcentral lists this ribosomal RNA (195 nucleotides) under uncultured eukaryote. RNAcentral describes it as "partial 18S ribosomal RNA". It matches the Rfam family "Eukaryotic small subunit ribosomal RNA", at positions 1 to 191 of the family's 1831-position model. The record is from RNAcentral.